GUGUCAGCCGCCGCGGUAAUACGAAGGGGGCUAGCGUUGUUCGGAAUCACUGGGCGUAAAGCGCGUGUAGGCGGAUUGUUAAGUCGGGGGUGAAAUCCCGAGGCUCAACCUCGGAACUGCCUUCGAUACUGACAAUCUUGAGUCCGGGAGAGGUGAGUGGAACUCCGAGUGUAGAGGUGAAAUUCGUAGAUAUUCGGAAGAACACCAGUGGCGAAGGCGGCUCACUGGCCCGGUACUGACGCUGAUAAUGCGAAAGCGUGGGGAGCAAACAGGAUUAGAAACCCGCGUAGUCC
RNAcentral lists this ribosomal RNA (293 nucleotides) under uncultured bacterium. RNAcentral describes it as "partial 16S ribosomal RNA". It matches the Rfam family "Bacterial small subunit ribosomal RNA", at positions 505 to 796 of the family's 1533-position model. The record is from RNAcentral.